RNAcentral lists this ribosomal RNA (253 nucleotides) under uncultured bacterium. Its description in RNAcentral is "partial 16S ribosomal RNA". It matches the Rfam family "Bacterial small subunit ribosomal RNA", at positions 524 to 776 of the family's 1533-position model. The record is from RNAcentral.
UACGAAGGGGGCUAGCGUUGCUCGGAAUCACUGGGCGUAAAGGGUGCGUAGGCGGGUUUUUAAGUCAGGGGUGAAAUCCUGGAGCUCAACUCCAGAACUGCCUUUGAUACUGAGAAUCUUGAGUUCGGGAGAGGUGAGUGGAACUGCGAGUGUAGAGGUGAAAUUCGUAGAUAUUCGCAAGAACACCAGUGGCGAAGGCGGCUCACUGGCCCGAUACUGACGCUGAGGUGCGAAAGCGUGGGGAGCAAACAGG